CCCUUAGAUGUUCUGGGCUGCACGCGCGCUACACUGAUGCAUCCAACAAGUUUUCUCCCUUGUUCGGUAGGACUGGGUAAUCUUUUGAGUAUGCAUCGUGAAGGGGAUAGAUUAUUGCAAUUAUUAAUCUUCAACGAGGAAUUCCUAGUAAGCGCGAGUCAUCAGCUCGUGCUGAUUACGUCCCUGCCCUUUGUACACACCGCCCGUCGCUCCUACCGAUUGAGUGCUCAGGUGAAUAAUUCGGACUGCAGCAAUGUUUGGAUCCCGAACGUUGCAGCGGAAAGUUUAGUGAACCUUAUCACUUAGAGGAAGGAGAAGUCGUAACA
RNAcentral lists this ribosomal RNA (326 nucleotides) under uncultured eukaryote. RNAcentral describes it as "partial 18S ribosomal RNA". It matches the Rfam family "Eukaryotic small subunit ribosomal RNA", at positions 1470 to 1796 of the family's 1831-position model. The record is from RNAcentral.